CGCAAGCCUGACGGAGCAAGACCGCGUGRGGGAGGAAGGCUCUUGGGUUGUAAACCCCUUUUCUCAAGGAAGAAGUUCUGACGGUACUUGAGGAAUCAGCCUCGGCUAACUCCGUGCCAGCAGCCGCGGUAAUACGGAGGAGGCAAGCGUUAUCCGGAAUGAUUGGGCGUAAAGCGUCCGCAGGUGGCCGUUCAAGUCUGCUGUCAAAUCCAGGGGCUCAACUCCUGACCGGCAGUGGAAACUGAACAGCUAGAGUGCGGUAGGGGCAGAGGGAAUUCCCGGUGUAGCGGUGAAAUGCGUAGAGAUCGGGAAGAACACCGGUG
Molecule: ribosomal RNA, 323 nt
Filed under: uncultured cyanobacterium
Lineage: Bacteria; Bacillati; Cyanobacteriota
Description: bacterial SSU rRNA
Rfam family: Bacterial small subunit ribosomal RNA
Source: RNAcentral